Molecule: long non-coding RNA, 16022 nt
Filed under: Heterocephalus glaber (naked mole-rat)
Lineage: Eukaryota; Metazoa; Chordata; Mammalia; Rodentia; Bathyergidae
Description: lncRNA (ENSHGLG00000042995.1)
Source: RNAcentral
CGCCGCCGCGGGGCCUCCGACUGCGCACCCGGCCAGGUUCCGGAGAGCGGGCAGGGAGCGCGGGCCGAGGCUGCCCUCGCGCCCCUGGCUGCCGGCCUAAGGGCUCGCUCGCACGCACGCCUCCGCUCGUCACCCUCGCCUUGCCGGCGUGCGGACAGGGCCUGCGGCGGUGGGAAAUCUGGGAAAUCGGAGCGCAGCGCAGGACCGCGCGGGAGGCCGGCGGGACGCAGCGCGCACAGACCCCGGUGAGUGGCUGCGGCGCUGACGGUCGCGCGCCGGGCUUGGCCUCUCUGCCAGGGUCUCGGGUGGAGAGGAGGGCGGGGGUGUCUCCAGUCUCCACAGGUCGUCGCGAGGAGCCGCACGGCCGUGCCCCGGAGCCAGCUGGGGCGAGAGGCGUGUGCCGGGCUCUGAGCGGGACCUGCGGCUUCUUCAAAGCCCCGGACCGCAAGGGUUUCUCCCGACUCCGCGCUCCCCGCUGGCCUCCCUCUCCCUCUCCCGGCCCUUCGCCGCCCGCAGGGGACGCCUGGUCGCCUCGGGGCGCCAGGCCCGUCCCUGCCAGGAGCUGGGGGCUUAGCCUGCCCCGCUGUCGCCGCCUCUCCACGAAGAGCAGAGCUCCUGGGAGAGCAGAGCCUCCUUCCGCCCUGUGCUUUCGGCCAGGCCCCGCCGGCGGACACCUCGGGCGCGGAGGGAAGGUCCAGGGUAGGCCCUGGGCGCGGCGGUCUCGGGUAUUCUCGGACCCGGCCGCCGCACACAGCCGCCUCCGCGCCCUCCGCCCCUGCCUUUCCCGGAGCGCUGUGGCACCGCUCGGACCCCAGCCUGGGGCAUCACGCACCCUCGCUGGACGCCCUCGCGCACUCGCAUUCUCUUCCCGCUGUGUCCCCUCGCCCCCAGGGAGGGACGUCAGGGACGGAAUAGCUGAGUUUCCCCGAAAUGGAGUAACUUCCUUUCCUGUUCCUGCUCCUCCACUCGUGGGGACCCCCAGAGUGAGGGGAAUCUACUGAAGGCGAAAUUGGGGAGCCCUUUUCUAGCAGCCGCCUUCCCCUGUAGGCUCUGUCCGGUUUAGGGGUCUUGGGGUCCCAUCUUUGGCUCACCCAGAAUUCAGUUUUCCUGCCCCCCUUUGUCCUUCACAGGCUUCCCUGGGGGGGGAGGGGAGCUUCUUAGGUUUGGGGGCAGAGAGCUGUGCCUGUGGGUGGAAGUAUGGUGUGGGGGCCACGUUACUCACUCACUCAGGCCCCAGCAGCGAAGCAGACUCUGCCUGGACCCCAGGGCCUUGAGGUGUGGAGCUAGAGUCCCAGGGAUGCCCAGGGCCGGCGCUCGCCAAAUCCUGCUCUCUCCUGGGGUGGCAGAGGAGGUGGGAGCCUGAGAGGGGAGGGGGGAACCACAGCCACAGCCACGCAAGGAGACUUUUCUGUGAGGAGCCAAGUUCUUGGUUCUCCAGAUGCCAGAGAGGUUUCCCUUAACCAGACACUUUUGAGGUGAGGACACUGAGCCCCAGAGGGGACUUGGGCCUGGCCAGCCCAGCUCAGCUGGCGGGGUUGGGCUGCCAGUGACCUUCCCUCCAAGCCCUCCUCUCUCCAAGCACGGAGGGUGGUGGCCUCUCUUCCCCCUGCCUCCUUGUGGUCAGAGAGAGUGGGCUUUUGGAAGGCUUCAUCGGCGCACAGCCUGGCUUUCCAGCUCCAGGGGAAAGAGACUCAUGGGAAAACCGUGGUAUUAAGAUGGUUACCACAGGGCCAGGGGUGUAGCUGAGCGGCUCAGCGCCUGCCUGGCAAGCUCGAGGCCCUCAGAUCGAUUCCCGGUAUAAUAUAAAAUAAAAUAGUUAGACAACCACAGCCGCAGGACAGGAAGCAGGCUGCUCGGUGGCUCACUAUGUGGUACUGGGCGCAUCACUCCUUAGACGGGUCCCAAAGGGGCUUGAACCCCUUUGAUGAUGUGGGGAGUUUGAUAACUUGGGUGAUUACUGUCCUGCCUGCACCCACUCCCAAGGUGCAUAACCGUGACACCUCUGCGGGGGUUUUCUUUGAGGUCUUGCGGGAAGCAUGGAACUCAUUCGUAAACCUACACCCCACCCACAAGCACAGAAUUGUAACUGUCCCUCCACAGUUGUUUGAUCUCGCGGGAACUCCUCCAAGUCAGCACCCCCUCCCUUAGUGAUGGGGCUCAGGGGGGUUGCUCGAUCCUCCACGACCCUGCAGGGCCAGGACCCAAACUGGACCCCCCCACACACCAGGAUAAGGGCAGGGAGACCCUGCACAUCAGAUUCACAGGGUGGAUGGAGAUCCAGCCCCCCAACCCCGCGGGAUGCCACCUAAGCUGACUCUUUCUCUGAAAGUGGAACCCGUAAUGCUGCCCACUCUUAGGCUCAGGGGAGGGUGCAGCAGGGCAGGGAGCUGGGGGACCCUUUCAAAUGGGAGCGAGGCCUCAGGGGCUCAGCCUGCGAGAAAACACUGCCUUUAGCUUAAAAUCUGCAGACACCUCUCCCAUCCUAAGUCAAAGCUGUGUGCGCCCCCAUGCAGGCAGAGGAACCCCCAGAACUGGGGUGGGUGGGUAAGAGACAUGCCCGCGUCGCGUCCACUCCCCAGGCCCGAGGUAUUUUCACUGGCUAAUUGCUUAAGUGAAGCCGCCGGGCGCGAGCGCCGUAACCCGAGCUCCGAACCAGAUCCGGCUCUCGGUGUGCGCCGGCCGCCGACCACCCACCGCGAGGGCAGCCGCCCUGCCUGACGCCCCUGCUCCGCAUUAGCCCGCUUCGCCCCCCACCCCUGCUCCUCGCAGCCCCGCAAGCUUCGUCCCUUGGUAGGUAGGGUGGCCGGGCUGCACCAACGGGGUGCGGGGCAGUGGGGAAGUGGAGUCCUGGGGCUCUGGUAGGGACGGCAGCUUCGGUGCGGCCUGGGUCUAGGGGUGUGUGUUGGGCUUGGUACCCAGAACUGCAGGGGGAAGGUCAGGGUCGGGGGGAGGAGGGUGGCCUGCUUGGAUCACAGCUGACCUGCGUGCAGAGUCUGCAGGGGCUUGGACCUGCAGACUGGUGCCAAAACAGAACCCGGCUGCAGGGCAUCCCCCGGAAGCUGGGCGCAGAGAGGCUUCUGAGGACAGCAGAGAGCCAGCACAGGGGCUCCCUGUGUGUCGCCAUUUUAAGAUGUUCUGUUUAACGGUCUAACAGGCACUCGCAGAAACACCCCAGAAUACUAUGGCGCGCUGGGCACCGAGCAGUGUAAAUGAGCAUGCAAGGGGACAGUGCCGUGUGCAGUCAGGAUGGUCCAGGCAGCCCGCUGCUCAGGUUGGCGUAGUCUGAGUGUGCCACACAGCGUGUUCCGAGCUCCGCAGGCCCCGUUGUCACACGCAGAGGAUCAGAGGACAUGUGGAGACGUGUGCCAGUGCAGGGUGCCUCGUUAGGCCAAGGGGUCACAGGGGUGACACAGCAGCAUCAGCCGCAGCCGCAGGCAGAGGGAUCUGCAGGGCGAUGCGCGUCCCCCAGGUGUCAGGCACGCUUUCAGGGCGUGUGACACGGGGUGGACAUGGUGCAAGCGUGACAGCGGACCGGACUGUGGCCAAGGACACCUGCCAGCCCUUGCUAGGCAGGGUAGGGCCUCCCCACUCACAGAACUCCCACCCUGAUCCCGAAGGCAGGGUCUGCUUUGAUCUCGGGUUCCAAAACACAAUGACACACCUACUUUAUUUCUAUGGUGACAGAUGGGCCCCUGAGAGAUGGGGUCCUGCACGGUACAGAGAUGUGGGGACCCUGUUCGCCCCGUGUGAGCCCUGACAGGGGAUUCCCCUCUCCGUAGCUGCAGAAAGGAGGUGCACGAUAAGGGAGGUGUGCAGAGGGGGCCCGCAGUAUCGGCGCGGCAGGGAAAGCCCUCCUUUGGGAUGACCUGCAGUGUCCCUUGCUGCCUCUUUAAGCUCAAAGCAAGGCAGUCAGAGCAAGCCGGACUCCAAGCCCCAGACUGGGAGAAGGGCGGGGGAGGAGGAAAGCAGCCACCUGGGUCGCACCUAGUCCUGCAGCACCCCCAGGGCAAGGUGGGGCUCAGUAACCCCUGGCAGUGUGGGCGGCAGCGGUGACCAGGGCCGCCCCUGGACGCAGGCCCUGGUGUUCAUCUCCCAUCAGCUCCACCUUGGGAAGAGGCUCGGGGUUUAGUCACCGCUCCCCCCCGCCCCCAUGCUUGGCCGUCGCUGCAGCCGGCGCUUGCCCCUUCCACUUGGCCCUUUUACCCGAAAGCACACAUUUUCCAUGACGUUCUUCAAUGAAAUAUUUGACAACAGUGCAGCCCAGGAAUUUACAGCUCUUCCCUGCAAGAUGGCUGGGAGUUUUCUGGCAUUUGCAGUACACGAAGCUCCAAGAACCAGCCCACCGGAGGGACACCCGGCCUCCAGCCCCCUGGGUCUGGUGCAGCCCCUUCCCGUGGAUACAGCCCCCAGAACCCCCGCAUAUGUUUGUCUCUGCUGAGCGGUGUUCGAAUGGGAGACGACUUCCUUGCAGUGCAUGCUUGCCCGUGUGUGUGUGUUUGGGGGUGCUCAAGGGGCCCCUGAGCCAGUUUCUGAGCUGAUGAUCUGUGCUGAAGUAGAGCGAGCACAGAAAGGUGCUCAGAGAGGGACAGGAGGGCUGUGGCCCCGGGACAGGCCCCCAACCUGGGGAUGAAGAGAAGGGUCCCAGACUACCAGCCAAAAGGAAAACAUAAAUUCAAUGCCAAGGGGCCGUUGCUUAGUAUUUUUCAGAUAUGAGGGGCCCCAAGAGGGAGGGACUCACAUGACAAGGGAACAGGGUGGGGGAACACUGCCGCCCAGAUGGGGCUCUGAGCCCAAGCAGCCGUGUGUGCCCAGGACCCUGUCCAAGUGCCCACCUGAGUGCCAGCUCACAGGCUGCAGAUGAGAAGAACGGGUGUUCAGGGGGACACCAACUGCACACACCUGACUGCCCGGGUGGAGGGGCUUCCCUGCUCCGUGCAGCCUGCCCAGGCUGCUGGCAACAGGACUCCCUCUCCCCAUGCCCUCGCCAGUCUAGCCCGGGCCUUUUGUCCCAGCCAGGUUGUAGCUCUGUGGCUCUAGGGACCUGGGCGAGUUGUGCCUGGGCAGGCCUGGCCCUGUGCACACCCGGAGGAAGCCCCUCUGGAGUUCAGCCCACCCUUGGGCUAGGGUGAUAGGGUCCCAGGGGAGGAAGCGGGGUAGCCAAGCCUGGGAGGGGAGUCAGGCAGGUGCACCAGAAAGCAGACAGUGCUGGAGGGAGAGCCCACACCCGAGAUGAGAUGGGGAAUUUCAGGCAGCAGGCUGAGCGCCCCAGUGGAGUACGGCCCGUGUCCACAGGACAGGGUGGCAGGGCACGGCAGGGCCAGGCCCUGGGGACAAGGAGGCCCAUUAGAGCGGGCCCACCCCAGACCGAUGUAGCACCUGUCUCUCCUUAGCUCUGGCCUCAGGCAAGCGCUUCAGCCUCUAGCGCCUCAGUUUCCUCUUUGUGCACCAGGGGAACAGAGCCAACCUGGAACCAGAGGAGAGACACAGGGCUUGCGCUGCAGUUGUGAAGGGGCUGGCGGCCUUGUGGAUGAUGGCAUCGUAAAUUGAAAUCCAGACCAGGGGGGAAUUGUUAAACAAACACCUGCAAGUGAUGAGGAGCUUGGGCCCUGUCUGGUUCCACUCAGCUCCACGGCUGUGCGGCCCUGGACGGUGGUCUUACCUCUCUGAGCCUCCUGUUCCUCAACUGUAAAAGAAGGGCGAGGGUGGUACCUCUCUUGGGGUAGAUGACCCCACAGUUGCCCACUGUGGUUGUUAUUUAGAGUUUUGGGGGGCUGGAGGGUAAGAUGCGUACCUCCCUGAAUGUCUGGGAGCCCUGCUUGAGAACCGGUGGCCUGAAGACCAGCUGCCCUGACUCGGCCGGCCGAGGGCUCCGAGUGGCCAGGGGCCUCCCUGGGUCUGCCGAGAGUUCAGGGUGACACAGCAAGGACGUUCAGAGCUCUCUGGGGAGUGCCUCUGCCAGCUCCGUCCUGCCACCCUGCCUUCUGUUCUCCCUGGUCCCGGGGCAGCAGGGCGGCAUCUGCAGUGGGCUGCCCGCACGCAUGUUCGCCUGCUGUGUGCAUUCUGGCCGGCCUCUCUCGGAGCCCCUUUUCUCCUCUGUGAGAUGGACAGAAUUAUAGGGCCUCCACCCCCGGCUGCUGUGCAGACCAAAGGUGGCCAGCAUCCCCCUCGGAGAGCCCGGCACCUGCUGUGUGUGGCACCAUGUGGAGAACGUGCUGUCAUUCUUGGAUUUGAUGCUGAAUCCGCCUCACAGGCAGGAGAGCAAGGCACAGCUAGCCGGCCGGGUGUGGUGGGAGGACUCAUUUUAAGGGUGCAGACAGGAGGUGCCCCCAAUUCUGCUUAGGUGGCAGGGCAAGCUUAACAGCUCUUUGCACACCCUCCCGACCCCAGUUUCCACUGCACUUAAUAACAGAAUAACAGCCUCCAGCCAGGUCCGAGGGAGCAAGUGGGAGGCAGGAUCAGAAGCCUCCAGGAGCCCCCCGACUCCGCCCGCUUCCCGGCACUGCUCCCCACGGCCCAGUUUCUGAGAAAUGCCUGGGAGGCUGAGGGUGGAUGCCUGGAGCCUCCCACCCGACAGCUGCACCCUGGGUGGGGACAAAGCCCCUCCUCUGGUGCCCCUUCCCCAGGUCCCCAGAAGAGUCUGGCCCUGGCUCCUUUCCUGCCAGACCAGAGCAGACGGCCCUGAGCAAAGGGCGCCGGGCAGCCUCAGCUUAGGUCCCGGAGGGCAGCAGGGACCUCCCAGCCACCGCAGAAGCAGGCCCUGGGCGGUCCUCGGAGGGGCUCCUGACCGACAGGCACACUGCACCCUGGGGCCCCGAAAGCAGCCCUCACCCAGGGCAAGGAGCUCCUUGUAAUUUAGGAGGCCAAGGCAGGAGAAUCAAAGCUCCAGCCAGCCUGGCUAACUUGGCAGGAGCCUGCCUCGAAGUAAAAAUCAAAAGGGUGGGGAUGUAGCUCAGGGGCUGAGCGCACGGGUUCAAUCCCCAGGAAGGCACAAAGUAAGAAACUGCUACUAAUAAAACACGCCCGUCCCUUUCUGUGAUUAUUGUUUUUGUUUCUUGGUGUUCGUUCUCUCUCUUACAGCCCUCGGCUCUCGGCUCUCUAACUUCGUAGAAUUUAAAAAUCAAAUGAAGGCAAAAACAAGACAGCCAUUUAAACCUUCCGGUCCUUUUCUUAUGAAAUAUAUUUUCUCAGUGCUUGAACACACCACUUCUUUAGGCAAUCGGAUUGCUCUCAGAGUCUGGGCAGAUUUGCGUCUGAAGUGGGCUCGCUGGUCUACUCCUGUACCCCAGCACCCCCUUAACCCUCACAGCGGGCAUUUUUUUCUUUCCAGUGAGCCAUUAAUUACCUGCAAAAGCUCCGUGCCCAGCACUCGGAGAGGAUCGAGGCCGGCCGCUUUAGAAAGCACACACCUGGAAUUAUGUCCAAUUUUGUGUUGUGUCCCUAGGUCAGAGGCCCCUUCCUGGCGUUCUCCAUGCUGGUGGAGAAAGACUUCGCCCCUUCUGGUUGCACGCCAGCGUCCCCUCGGCCGGGUCACUGUUUCCCCCACCAAAUUGGGCUGAGACCCAUUUAAUUCGCCGUGAAAACUAACUUAAUUAGGAGCCGAGUGCGCUCUUGGGUGGGAGGCAGCAGGCUCUUCGCCCAUCUCCCUCGCUGCCCUCCGCUCUCCGCAUUUGCAAAGCCGCCCUUCCCCGCGAGGAGCCGGGCUGCCUGCCUCUCACUUUUCCUCAGGUUGCCGGUCUCAGGUGGAAUCUCAGGGGCUGGCUUUCGGCGGAGGCGGUGCCCUGAGCCCGUGGGAAGCAGAACCCGCUUCUUUCCGAGCCCCAGGCUCCUGGUGCCCCAAGUGCCUCUGGCCAGACUCCGCCUGCCGGUGACGGCCUGGACAGCUCCGGGUCCUACAGCCCGGGUGGCGACCGCUGCGCUGGUGUCGAGAUGCCACAGUCCUUUAACCCUGGUUCAGGCUAAUGACGGGUCCUGCCUGCGUGAAUGCCGUGUUUAUUUUACCUCCACCAGCUCAGGGGAGGGGGUGCACCCGGGCGCCCGGCAAGGGACGUGGAGCCACAGAAGCAGAGCCCGCUCUGCAGGCGAAGGGUCUGCGCAUCGCCUUCUCCCUCACCGGGCCGCCGCGGCGGAGAUCAAUGCGACUCAGCCUCGUGUCCUGGGGAGCCCAGAGCUGCAGCCCCGGAGCGUGCAGGACUCGGGGCGCCCAAGGCCCGCAGCCCUGGGAGGCGCCUUCUGGAAGUCAACUCCAUGCACUCUCCAGCCGCUCGCUUGGCUGUGGGACAGGGAACCAGGGCACCCUGGACCGCGAAGGUGCUGCAGGACAUGGGCCUGGAUGCAGUGCUGCAUGCUGACUCAAGGAUGAUGGCGCUCUUCCAAGAGGGAUCUGGGAGGAGGUGACCUAAUCGGAAGGCGAUUCUAGAUGCGGAAUGUCUAAUUUGACCAACACUGCAUCUCCACCGAAACCAGCCCUGUCCUUGUCUUCCAGGACCUGAGGUGCAAAGGACACAUCCGGGCUGGGUGUGCUGUCCUCCUUACUUUAUAGGUUUUAUUUUUUCCAGGAUUAAAAAAAUACAGUUACCUUUCUUGAGCUCACAGGGGCACCCAGGGUGGAUUUCCAGGGGCAGGAAGCUGUGCAGAGUUCAUUGGUGGAAAGGAUGAAUUAAGAGAAAACCACUCAGAGGAACAGAAAGGCAUCCUAGGCAUUUGAGGCCAGGAGCAGAGCUGAGAGGGCUGUCUCCCUCUUUCAUUGUAUGGGCUGCCCCGACAAAGCACCGUACAUGGCCUGGGCGGCUUAUUCCCGACAGACGUGGAUUUCCUGUUCCAAGGCUGGGCGUCCAAGCUGGGGUGCACCCGGCGGCCUGUGCUCGCUCCCCACUGCCAUCUCCUCACAUGGUGCGCUUGCCCUGUGACCAGUUGGGGGCAUGGGCCUCUGGCCCCCUGCAGUCAUCCUUUCGGUGUCCAGCACAGCAACAACCACAGACAUGGCAGGAAGGCCUGUAGCCAGGAGAGGGGACCCCAGCGCACCCCAGGAGCUGCCCCGGAGCAGCCCGCUCCCCAUGACUGCGGCCACAGAGACCGUGAGAAGCAGCGAGAGACACUGCUGAGGCCACUGCAUUCUAGCGUGGUUUGUUAGGCAGCCAGAAGCAACCAGAAGAAACCGGGUUUAUGUUUUAAAAAUAAACAUUUUAUUGAAACAUCACAGGGAAGGGACAGGGAAGCCCCCCGCCAGGGCAGCAGGCCCAUCAGGACGCAGCGUGUGCCCCUGGACGGCCCCCGGGGUGACCCCGCAGCCCACAGAGUGGCCUGGCAGGCGCAGAGGGAGACACAGCUCCCGGGCCAGUGUAGGUCUGCUCGCCCCUCCCUGUGGUGCACUAGGUCCCGUGGUGGCUGCCCUGAGCCUGGGCUCCCUGGUCCUCCUGGCCCGGUUGUGCUCCACGACGCAGUGGACACAGCUGUUGUCCCUUCUGCUGCAGUCACUGAGACCACCUGUGUGGGGUGUUUCUGCCGGGGGCUCAGGCCCUCGCCUGUGCACACCCCAGUCAGGGCUCGGUGCCCUCACUGCUGCCUCUCUCCCAGGGCCCUCGACGCUGCCACUACUGCCUGCUGGUGGCCUGGGCAGCUGGGCCAGCUGCCAAGUGACGCUGGCUCCUUUGGUUCCGAGUCAUGGACUUUAGAAGGUAGUACCCUGAGCCACAUGGGCGCCCCGCACCUGGCGCCCCACCUGGGAAAGCCCACCUGGUGUCCCCCACGGGUCUCUCAUGACCACAUGCAUCGGCGGGGCCUGGGGAGGCCCGGCCCGGGAGCGCUUUGUGCAGGGAGGAGUCCUAGGCCCCGGGCGACGGUGCCGGGUGGGAGACACUCAGAGCAGGGGGUAGACCCUCAACGCAGGACGCCGGGGUCAGGGCUGCUGCCCCAGGGGGUGCACGUGUACAUGGUCCUCGGCUUCUCGUGCCCACUCGAGGAGGCAGUUGGCCACACCUUCCAACUGCCAGCUUCCAAGACAGAGAAGACAGCGUCUGCUGUUUUAAGCCACCAGUCCAGGGGCUAAAUCCAGAUUUCUGUGCCUCAUCUUCCACAUAGGAAUAUAUGCAUGCUUUUGCUAAAUAAAGACAUAGCAUUAUAAGUCUGUAGGUAAUGAGUCAAAUUCAUUGACUUGUGUUAGAAAGAUAGGAUUUUCUUCGUGCAUUUUCUGUGCUGAUGCAGAUAGAAAACCAAGACCACAAAGGGCCCCUCUUGUUUUAAUUGUUUCAUUCCUUUAAACAACAAACACUGGCUGAAACAAACAGAAAAGUAUUUUUUUCAUGAACCAAACAGAAAGGGAUCAGUGCACUUAACUGAUCACCCGUUCCCACCAGCGUAGAGACAGACGCGGGCCUGAGACAGAGAUGUGGGGUGCGGCAUCUGGGUUUUGGGGUUUUCUCUUCUGAGGGAUGAGACAGGAGCCUUCCGAGAAAUGCACCCGGCGAGCCGCCCCAGGCCGCUGUGUCAGCCCUGCCGACUGCCUGAGGUAUGAGCUGAUCUCCGGCAGCUCUGCUUCGCCUGGGCCUCAGCUGCAGGCAGGAACCUCCACCCUCCAGGGUCAGAGUCCUCUCCUUGAGAGCAGCUCAGUCUGUUUUCUGUUGAUAGAACAAAAUAACCAAGGUGGGGUACUUUAUAAUUUGUUUAGCUCACAGUCUUGGAGGCUGGGAGUUCGAAACCAGCUGGCCCCUUCUGUUUGGCCUCUGGCCCCCUUCCCCUGCCGCCCCCACCCUGCAACAGUGUGUCACCAUGCAGCUGCCAGUAGCAUCCUGGCAGACAUAGGAAGCCAGACGGGAGCAGGGCAGACUUGCUCUUUUAUAACAAUCAUUUGCAUAAACCCCACCCAAGGGCACACCUCCAGGGACCUAACCACCUUACACUAGGCUCCUCCUCUUAAAGGGGCCAUCUGUCCCAAGACCUAGGACACACCAGUCAGGAGCUCCAGCCCUUCUGUGUGGAGCCAGCAGAACCCACAUCUUUGAAAAUUCACUCGUGUUCCCCAAACACUUGGGAAUCCUGCCCUCAGACUUGCUGUGGUCCAGUCUCCUUCAUCUCCCCACAGUUGUAAGACCUAGAUCACUCUCUUCCCCUCUGGAGUUUCUCCUCCAGGAACCUAGUGAGAGUUUCAGAGUGAGCACUGCAGAAAAUCCCUAGCACUGUGAGAAAGGAGCCGUUCUGACCACAUGGGAGCUCUGUCUGCCUGGGCCAGUUAGUGCCACACUGAUCGUGGGAAGGGAGACACCAGCUCCAGACCUCCCAAAUACUGUUCCACUGGGGAAUGGGGCCUGAGACACACGUGGGGCAUCCAUCGUCCAGGGCUUGGGCUCACUGGAAGACUGAGACCCACCCACAGGACUGAGGAGAACUUCCUGCAUUCGGCAUAUCACUAAGCACAUCAUGUAGCACCUCAUGGCUGACAAGCAGGAAACAAGUACCAGGCAUACUAAAAGGCAAAAGCAGAGUUUGAAGAGACAGAGCAAGCACCAGAACCAGACUUACAGGGCACUAUGGCUCCCCAAGAUGUGGCACACUGGAGAUUUAAACAGUAUGAUGAGCCCUUGCUGCCAGGCCUCCUGGGUCUCCACAGGCAUAGGACAUUCACAUUUGUAGACACUGAGUUCCAAGGGAGGGGCCGCCUGGGGUGUGCAUAAGCAAGUCUGCCCUGUGAAAGCCUCCUCCACAGCCCAUGCAGAUGCCAGCUGCCUUCGUCAGGGAUGUGAGGCUGCACUUUCUGUUGGCAGGAAGCUGUGACUACUGUGCUGUUGGGAACCAUUAAACCAUUGUUAAUGGGUUCAUUCACUUUUUUAGGUUAAAAGUCAUGGCCAAAAAGAGGACUCUUUUUCUGAGUUGAUCUGGAGGGGAGAAUCAGAAACAAACAAGGAGUUGUAGGAACUUGGGUUUGGGUUCAAGAUAAGGACGGAGUUGGUAAAGGUGGGUGCCUCCCAGCAGUGACCCCCAGGGUCAGAGUGCCCCCGACACAGUGCUGAAGCAGAGGCUUGGCAUCCUUCACAUACCUCCCCACGGGAAGCAGCAGGUCUCACAGCCCGAGGCUGGCAAGUCCAAGGUGAAAGUGCUAGCUACUUCCAGCCCAUGGAUGGUGCACUGUUGCUGUUCUACAUGGCAGAGAAAGACAGAGUAGUAGAAGUGGGAGAUUAAUUUGCUUCAGGGAAUUGGCCCACACUGUUGGGAGGCCAGGCAAGUCUGAUGUCUAUAGGGCAGGCUGGAGGCUGGAAACUCAGGCCAGAGCUGCUGCUGGUUUUUUCCUCUCCAGAAGGCUACUGUUCUGCUCUUAAGGCCUUCACCUGAUAAGAUGAGGCUCGCCACACUGUGGAAGGUCACCUGAUUUACUUAAAGCCAGCUGACUAACCACAGCUACUGAACAUCUCCGCAGAAAUGUUCAGAUGAGGGCUUGAUGCGGGAGUGGGACAGCAGCCUGGCCACAUGGACAUGCAGACUUGGGUAUGCCAGGGAGGUGAGCUUGUCAAGGUGGCAGAAAGCCAAAGCCACGACCACUAGCUUCCUAGGCUUCCUAGAGCUUCCUGGAGAGGACCCUGCUCAAGGCCCAUCACCCAACGUGGACAGGGUGACAUAGCAAUGACACCGAGCACUGGCCAGGCACCAGGAGCUGCUGGCCACCCCAUGAGUAUCAUUAACCCCUUCAGUCAGAAAGCUGGGUCAUCGCAUUUUGCAGAUGCAGAUGCGGUCACAACCAAGGACCCCACAGGGCAGUGACUCACUUGGGGUCACAAGGUAGGCACAGGAGCCAGGACUUAGCCAGGUGCUGUGCCUCUAGAGUCUGCUGCCUCUGCCGUGGCACACGACACUUUAGGAUGUCACUCUCUGACAGACUCGGGGCCGGGAGCGUCGGCAGACUCCAGAUCCUGCCCAUCCCACCCCAGGACGAGGGUGCCUCUCCUUAUCCAGAGCAGGACAUAAGCCCCACCUUAGCCCCCGGAAUAUUUUGGGAAUCCGUGUCUGCUGAACACUUUGGGGAAGCGUGAAAACAGUUUUUCAAAUGCCAGUUUUGGUUUUUUUUAAUCAAUUGUAGGUUUGCCCUUGGGGUAACAAACAUAAAAUCCCAAACUUUCAUCCCACUGGAGCAAAUAAAAAUUACCUUGUUUGGUUUUUUGUUGUUGUUUUUUCUUUUUUGAGACACGGUCUUGCCCAGGCUGGCCUCAGACUCAUGGUGAUCCUCCUGCUUCAGCUUCCGAGGGCUAGGAUUUGCAGGGAUGCACCACCACCCCCGGGUUUCCCCAUUAGGUUUCCAAUAAUUGUGCCGUGGCUUUGGAUUGGAAUCCAGAUGCCACCCAGGGAGACCUGAGACCUAGGACAGGGGUCAGAUGAACUGGGUGCAUCAAAAUGCCCAGGAAAGGUUCGGCCUUUGACCAGGCGCAGCGUGGGCAGCGGCACUGGCUGCUGUGCCUACGAGUGGCAUUGUACAGGCAGAGCCACCCAGUGCUCCGGCUGCCCGGGAACAAGGUGCCCCACAAGCUGGGGAGAGGAGUUCCACCCAGAGCACCUGGACGUCAGGACAGCGGUCCCCACAGGGCAAAGCCCUCAGCUCUGGCCUCAGGCUCUGCAGGUGUCAACUCACUGUGGCCGCCCCAGCAGCCCCUCCAGCUUCGGGUGUCCCGGGCUCCACCCUGCUCUUCUGGCUUCUCAGGCCCAGGCCCGGCCUGCUGGAGGGCGGCUCCGUGCAGCAGCCUGGCCGGAAACGAGAGUCUCCACCGAAUGCACCGCGCCACGGAAACCGCGGUGAAAUUGCUCCCUUCCUUCUAGGGCAGCCCCAGGAGGCCCAGGGACAAGAGGGCAUUGUGUUGGGGGGGACCCCUCCCCGGCACAAAGGGCGUCUUUCACGGCUGCUGACUGCACAGGCGGGUGGGAGCCCCAGGCCUCCUCAUUCCUGGGCUCCUGGCACUGUGCCCCAGGUCAGAGCUGCCGCCCUGGAAGGAGCCAGCUGCAGAGACCCCGGCCCUGGGGCUGGCAGAGCUGUCCUGCUGGCGCUGGUUGGCUGGGACACGGCUGUCACUGCGCUGAGCUGUCCGUCUGGGAAAGUCAUCUGCGUAGGGAAGGGACCGUGUGUGGAUGGCUGUGUUAUGGGGUGAAGGGCUCUGGAAAAGACACAUGGGAGGGGGAGCCCCAUACCCUGGGGGAGCCUGGAGCUCGGAGGACGGGUGGGCGGGCAAAGAACUCAUACCGAGCUUGCGGACGGGACCGUGAACAGGUUGGAUACAAAGCCCUCUCGGUCCUGCAAAAUCUCAGGCUCUACUCAGUCCGGGAGGCCCAGGCAGGCAGGGCUUGAGUGGCGAGUGUGCGUGUGUGUGCUCGUGAGUGUGUCAGGAUGUGAGUGUGUGUGUGUGUGUAUGUGUUGGGGAAGAUCUAAAAAUGUAAUUGCUUUCAGCAGAACACGGCCCACGGUGUAAUUAAAGCGAGGGGGCUGCCGGCUCCUAGAGUUUAAGUGAUUUCAUGUGCAUUUGGUGAUUAUGCCCCUCUCUUGGGAUAAAAGUGCGGCUUCUAUUUUCACAUACAAAAUGGUUCCCAGACCAGGAGGCAGGGACUCAUUCCCUGCCCGCCUGGGCAUGAGGCUGGCCGGGCGGGCCGAGGGGAAGCUGGGCCUCGGUGGGUGCUGGUGAGGGGCCGGGAGAGGAGGGACUGAGUACAGCUGCGUCCCCGCGGUGGGACCGGGCUGCUGGACUUGUGCUGGCCGAGCCAGGGUCCCCUCUGGGGAGCUGCGGCCCCAGUCCCUCAACCCCCAACCUGUUAACACCCUCGGCUGUGGCCCCGCAUGACCUCGGGCCAGACCAGCGGUGCCCACUUCCUCUGGGUGGGAGGCCCCACCGGGCUUCCUCAGGGGCCGACAGGGCAGCUCCGACAGGGACCUGAGCCAGCUGCAGCGGGGAGAGCAUGGACUGGGAUUCUGUCCCUUCACAGCGUGCAGAAAAACGGUUGACAUAAAUUUAGAACUUUUCAAACUGUUUUUAUGUUUCCCCCUCUUUCUUGCCUGUUCCAUGCUGGCCUCUGUGGGGUUUUUGUUUUGCUGGUCGGUAACUAUCGAAAGGUACUAAUCCUUAGUACCAAACCCAAGGGGCGUUGGGGAGGUACCCCUGGUGACUCAAAAUGAACUCAGUGUGUCCUGGCCUGGGGCUGUGGCGUCUGAAGAGCCCUGAGCUGCCUUUCUGUGGUGCAUAACACUGAGGUAAUGAAAACGAGCAGCAUCCGCGUAGGUACCGGCCCUCCCUGCGCUGUGCUCUCUGCCGUGGGCCUACCGCCUGGCGCUCAGUCAGGCUGAGGCCACUGGAGGGGCCUUUGGACCAGACGCACGUUUCAGGUCAGCCCCGCCAGCCAGAAACCCUCCCAGAGCGAGAAAGGAAGCUGGGCUCCAGGGUUACCAGCCCAGUGGCCCGCACCGGCCCGCUGGGCUGCGUGGCUUUGGGAGGGCCGCUUCCGUCUCUGGGCCGCAGGCGGUGAGCGUGGCGAUGGUCGGCUGGGGCCUCUGGUGUGGCUGAGGGCAGCCGAGGGUGUGACCGCUUGUGCCAGGCUCGGGCCGGGCAGCGGAGGGGCCAGCUCCGGUUGGAUGUCCCGAUGUGGCUCCGUUUGCAUCUCAUCUGAUUUUCCUGUGUCCGCGUGUGCAGCACUGGGAGUGGAACCCAGGGCCCCCACGCCCAGCUGCACUGCCCUGUGUGCUCCUUGAGUGCCACGGAGUCGGAGUCGGGAGUGGCGUCUCCUCCUCCACAGCCACCACCCAUGCCUUCUCUGUGGCUGAUUUGGAGCACUCCGGUAGAGGCUUUGCGUCUGUGUUAACUCUUUCAAAGAACUCGCUUCUGGCUCUCACUGCCCUCUGUCGCUUGUUUUCUAUUUCCUUGAUUUCUGCUCACAUCUUGAUUAUUUUGUCCUUCUGUUUACUUUCUGUGCAGCAUUCUUCUUUUUCUAGCUUCCUAAUGUAGAUGUUUACCCCAUUAAUCUCAGUCUUUCUGUUACUAACUUCACAUUACAUUCCCAAGGGCCCC